Molecule: ribosomal RNA, 230 nt
Filed under: uncultured bacterium
Lineage: Bacteria
Description: partial 16S ribosomal RNA
Rfam family: Bacterial small subunit ribosomal RNA
Source: RNAcentral
GAUCAUGGCUCAGGACGAACGCUGGCGGCGCGCCUAACACAUGCAAGUCGAACGAGAGAUGAGGAGCUUGCUCUUCAGAUCGAGUGGCGAACGGGUGAGUAACGCGUGAGGAACCUGCCUCAAAGAGGGGGACAACAGUUGGAAACGACUACUAAUACCGCAUAAGCCCACGGCUCGGCAUCGAGCAGAGGGAAAAGGAGUGAUCCGCUUUGAGAUGGCCUCGCGUCCGA